ACUCCUACGGGAGGCAGCAGUAGGAAUAUUGGUCAAUGGGUGAGAGCCUGAACCAGCCAUGCCGCGUGCAGGAAGACGGCCUUCUGGGUUGUAAACUGCUUUUACCAGGGGAUGAAAAGAACCAUGCGUGGUUAAUUGAAUGGAUACCUGGAGAAUAAGCACCGGCUAACUACGUGCCAGCAGCCGCGGUAAUACGUAGGGUGCAAGCGUUGUCCGGAUUUAUUGGGUUUAAAGGUGCGUAGGCGGGCUAUUAAGUCAGUGGUGAAAUCCAGCAGCUUAACUGUUGAUGUGCCAUUGAUACUGGUAGUCUUGAGUACAGAUGAGGUAGGCGGAAUUGACAGUGUAGCGGUGAAAUGCAUAGAUAUUGUCAAGAACUCCGAUAGCGAAGGCAGCUUACUGGGCUGUAACUGACGCUGAUGCACGAAAGUGUGGGGA
RNAcentral lists this ribosomal RNA (435 nucleotides) under uncultured bacterium. RNAcentral's name for it is "bacterial SSU rRNA". It matches the Rfam family "Bacterial small subunit ribosomal RNA", at positions 335 to 767 of the family's 1533-position model. The record is from RNAcentral.